UACGUAGGGUGCUAGCGUUGUUCGGAAUCAUUGGGCGUAAAGCGCGUGUAGGUGGUCAGUAAAGUUGGGUGUGAAAUCCCUCGGCUCAACCGAGGAAUUGCGCUCUAAACUACUGUGCUUGAGGAAUCUAGAGGUGAGCGGAACUGAUGGUGGAGCGGUGAAAUGCGUUGAUAUCAUCAGGAACACCGGAGGCGAAGGCGGCUCACUGGGGAUUUUCUGACGCUGAGGAACGAAAGCCAGGGGAGCGAACGGG
Molecule: ribosomal RNA, 253 nt
Filed under: uncultured bacterium
Lineage: Bacteria
Description: partial 16S ribosomal RNA
Rfam family: Bacterial small subunit ribosomal RNA
Source: RNAcentral